Molecule: RNA transcript, 1639 nt
Organism: Cyprinodon tularosa
Lineage: Eukaryota; Metazoa; Chordata; Actinopteri; Cyprinodontiformes; Cyprinodontidae
Exons: 10
Source: RefSeq, a predicted model, not a curated record
AGACUAAGACCGCUGAGGAAGUCUGCCAAAAAUGAUGUUCUAUAUUUUACCGGCACGGCUGUCCUCAGCGUAUUCUCACUGACCAGGGGCGAGAAUUUGUGAACACAAUGAACAGUAGACUCUGUGAUCUACUUUCAAUUCAAAGAAGCAUCACUGCCGCCUAUCAUCCUCAAACCAACGGCUUGGAUGAAAAGACAAAUGACAACAUUAAGCGUAGUUCAACUUUGGUCUUUGAAAGACUCAGGGCAAGUUGAAGCCCUUGUUGGCCCAUAUAAAUUGUAUGACACAUCUUUUAGAACACUCUGUGGACAUGGCUGGCUGUCAGAUGAAGUUAUAGAUGCAUAUUUGUAUGUGACACUUCAGAAGACCAAGAUACCUGUAUACAGAAUGGAUGCAGUAAUUGCAUCUUCUGUAUUUCAUCUUGGGCAAUAUCGGGCUGUUCAAAAGAUGGUUUUACCUGAAGCCUCCAUUUGGAUGUGCCCUGUAAAUGUGGGAGGUCACUGGCUUUUGGUGAUUGUCGUGAUGAAUCACCAAGAGCUAGUAGUUAUAGACCCUAUGGGGAACGAAACAAUGUAUGACAGAAAGCUUCUCCGUAACUGGAGAAACUUCCUAAAAGCAAAAGGUGCUGGCCGGAGAAGCUGGAGUGUCCGCCAUAUGCCGCAUAUGCUGCAGAAGGACUCCAGCAGUUGUGGGGUCUUGGUUUUGAAGUUUGCAGAAACAUAUGUUCAAAUGGGAGGGCUGCAGGCAGUGCAAACAGGACCCAAAGACAUAUCCCAAGCCAGACUGCACAUCGCUACCACACUGUAUCAACAUCGAGGUGAAAGAACAAUUACAAAGAAGUCUUGUUUUCCAGUUUGCUGGCUGAAUGUUCAGAGAUUUAUAGCUUUGGACAGCUAUGAUUCUAAGAAUUGUUUGGUCAGAGCACAUGAAAUUUUAUUAAUGUUGGGUAUUAAGAACCAGUUCCACUGUUCUGGGAACUGUGGAAGUCUGUGUGAAACCUGUUGAUCUGUUUUGUUAAUAUUCUAACAAUCAAAAACACAAGAUGGCUUAGGAGCAUAUCAACGAAUUUUUCAUUCCAAACGGAACAAAUUUACCCUUAGGCUAUACCGGAACAGUCCAAAGCAUUAAAAAAAUCCAAAGAUAUAUGACAUACUAAAUUGCAGUAUUUUCUGUUAUGUACUAGUAUAACAUGAUGGCUUGUCAACAGAAUAUAAAGAGGUAGUACUUGACUAUUUUUGGUAAAGUACACUCUAAAUGCCUUUAUUUGUUCCCAGACAAGGUGGAAGAGUACUGUGUGGAAUGCAAUAUGCUUCACUGUAAUGCUUCAGAGAACAUCAUUGACAUGAUACAGUGUGACUGCUGCUCAAGGUGGACACACAAAGAAUGUGCCACAGACAUGGGUGACAUGUUCAAAUGUAAAAAGUGUAACUUAAAUUAAACAGUUUUACCCCACCAGUGACAGUGUGGAUUAUUAAAAAUACAGAAGUAAAAUGUUCUACAUUAAAUAUAGUACAUCAUACAACUGAUGUCAUUGGUAUUAAUCAGGAAGUCAUACAGUGGCUAAUAACAAAGUGUAUGGCAAUCAGACAGGUUAAGGGAUGCAUCAGGAAGUCAUACAGUGGCUAAUAAAGUGUUAUUA